GAUGAACGCUGGCGGCGUGCCUAAUACAUGCAAGUCGAGCGAACGGACGAGAAGCUUGCUUCUCUGAUGUUAGCGGCGGACGGGUGAGUAACACGUGGAUAACCUACCUAUAAGACUGGGAUAACUUCGGGAAACCGGGGCUAAUACCGGAUGAUAUUUUGAACCGCAUGGUUCAAAAGUGAAAGAAGGUCUUGCUGUGACUUAUAGAUGGAUCCGCGCUUCAUUAGUUAGUUGGUAAGGUAACGGCUUACCAAGGCAGCGAGGCAGAACCGACCUCAGAGGGGCGUCGCCCACCCUGGCACUGAGACACGGCCCCCACUCCUAGGGGGGGCAGCAGCAGGGACUCUUCCGCAAUGGGCGAGAGCCUGACGGAGCAACACCGCGUGAGUGAUGAUGGUGUUCGGACCGUAAAACUCUGUUAUUCGGGAAGAACAUAUGUGUAAGUAACUGUGCACAUCUUGACGGUACCUAGUCAGAAAGCCACGGCUAACUACGUG
This 497-nucleotide ribosomal RNA is filed under the name uncultured bacterium. RNAcentral describes it as "partial 16S ribosomal RNA". It matches the Rfam family "Bacterial small subunit ribosomal RNA", at positions 28 to 507 of the family's 1533-position model. The record is from RNAcentral.